This is a long non-coding RNA of Esox lucius (northern pike), 1222 nucleotides long. The record is from Ensembl. Lineage: Eukaryota; Metazoa; Chordata; Actinopteri; Esociformes; Esocidae.
GAUAUGCUCUGACUCUUUUUUUUCUGGUGUUGGUAGCAGAGGCAAAGCCACGGCUGGGCCAGGCAGGACCUGUGCCCUGCCAGAUUGGCUAUUGGCCCACCCAAUCAGCUUGGCUAAAAAAAAAAUAUAAAUUUUUAUUUAUUGUUUGUAUUGUUUUUUAACAAAUCAGAAAUGGAAUCAAACACUAUCCCGCCACCCCACCUUCAUUACAAAGUAGGCCUAUAACUGGUUAGUUCGCUCUUGCACUUCUUUAAAAAGCUACAAAUGGAGGAUGAAGAAAAAAAAACACCUCCAUCGCAUUCGAGCCCAAUCCCUGGGAUACCUGAUAAACCGAUGAGGAGGCUAGCAAGUCAGACCAUGAGGGAGCUAGCAAAGCUAGCAAUAGCACUUCAGGCCCAACCAUUAAGGACUCGGGAGCUAGCAGGUCAGCAGCCAAGAGGAGGUUUGCGUUUCUACUGCCUUGAUUUCAACAACAGCCCAGGAUAACCAUCGCUCUGCACACCUGCGGAUUUGUCUGCAGUAGACGAACCGCCAACACAACCAAAAUUGAGACCAUGUUGGAGGAUCCACCCAGUCUGAAGGAGACCUGGAUGAGGAAUCACCAUCAUCCAUCCUUCCCUCCCUGAAGGGUUAUCCUGUCGCCUGAUUCCCAGACAACUAAAUCAUCCUCUGCUGACCAAGAUAAACUUCCUCCACUGCCCUUGACAAACACACGUUACUCCAACACCGAAACUGCUGCGACUUUGAGCAUGUUUGUGUGGCAGGAGCGUUUGAUUGCAUGGAACUUCACUCUGUAAAAUGUAUUAAUUGAAAGUGAGACUGAACUGUUUCAAUUGUUUUCCAAGUGUGGCAAUAAAGAAAUGUCACCAGCAAAUACGAGCUGAGUGAUUUAACAUCUAAUAUGACAGACCUUAUCCACUGCAUUGUGCUCCAGAUUAAAUGAUGUCAGAGGACUUGCUUAAAGCCAAAUAUCAACCUGCGACACUUGUUAGAGUCCCUGCCAGUUCCCUAUAGGCUACAACCAUUCAUUCUCAAGAACCUGGCUUAGAUUUAACUGUGUGUGUGUGUGUGUGUGGUGAUCUGGUAACAACCUCCUAGCCAACCAGUAGCCAGAACAAACCUGCCAAUAAUGCCAAUAUUCAGUUUGUGUGUGUGUGUGUGUGUGUAUGUGUGUCUCUAACCUGACUAUGUAAUGGGGACCAAAACGGUCCUUUAACUGUGG